AGCUUUUUCAGCUCUAUCACACAGCAUUCAUCAGAAGAUAUCAGCUCAGUUGUGUUGGAGAUGGACAUUGAUGUGGACAUCUGUGACAAAGCUAUGUGCGCCUCUGGUGUGAUGCCCCCUGGAAGAUAUGACGGUGUAAAGAUACAGGCCAGGCGGCGUGAGGCUCAGAUGUUUUGAGGAUGAGCACACGUGGGACACAAAUUGACUGCCACCCUUGAUUCCCCCCUCUGGUAUUUCCCCAAGGAGAGAUUGAAACUCUGAAGAAGUGGGACUGGGACCGGGACUGGAAUUCCAAACCAGAUUGUGUCUGUCUGUCUGUGCCGCCCUGCUUGUGAAAACAGAUUAAAAUCAUACUGACCACUGCA
This is a long non-coding RNA of Scomber scombrus (Atlantic mackerel), 365 nucleotides long. RefSeq lists it as uncharacterized. NCBI's taxonomy places the organism in Eukaryota, Metazoa, Chordata, Actinopteri, Scombriformes, Scombridae. The transcript has 2 exons. The record is from RefSeq and is a predicted model, not a curated record.